RNAcentral lists this ribosomal RNA (401 nucleotides) under uncultured bacterium. Its description in RNAcentral is "bacterial SSU rRNA". It matches the Rfam family "Bacterial small subunit ribosomal RNA", at positions 355 to 773 of the family's 1533-position model. The record is from RNAcentral.
UAAGGAAUAUUGCACAAUGAGCGAAAGCCUGAUGCAGCAACGCCGCGUGAGUGAUGAAGGCCUUCGGGUUGUAAAGCUCUGUCUUCUGGGACGAUAAUGACGGUACCAGAGGAGGAAGCCACGGCUAACUACGUGCCAGCAGCCGCGGUAAUACGUAGGCGGCAAGCGUUGUCCGGAUUUACUGGGCGUAAAGGAUGCGUAGGCGGAUACUUAAGUCAGAUGUGAAAAUCCCGGGCUUAACUUGGGAACUGCAUUUGAAACUGGGUAUCUAGAGUGCGGGAGAGGACAGUGUAAUUCCGAGUGUAGCGGUGUAAUGCGUAGAGAUUAGGAAGAACACCAGUGGCGAAGGCGACUUUCUGGACCGUAACUGACGCUGAGGCAUGAAAGCGUGGGGAGCAAAC